RNAcentral lists this ribosomal RNA (246 nucleotides) under uncultured bacterium. RNAcentral's name for it is "partial 16S ribosomal RNA". It matches the Rfam family "Bacterial small subunit ribosomal RNA", at positions 531 to 776 of the family's 1533-position model. The record is from RNAcentral.
GGGGCUAGCGUUGCUCGGAAUCACUGGGCGUAAAGCGCACGUAGGCGGCUCUUUAAGUCAGGGGUGAAAUCCUGGAGCUCAACUCCAGAACUGCCCUUGAUACUGAGGAGCUUGAGUCCGGGAGAGGUGAGUGGAACUGCGAGUGUAGAGGUGAAAUUCGUAGAUAUUCGCAAGAACACCAGUGGCGAAGGCGGCUCACUGGCCCGGUACUGACGCUGAGGUGCGAAAGCGUGGGGAGCAAACAGG